GACGAAGGGGGCUAGCGUUGUUCGGAAUCACUGGGCGUAAAGCGCACGUAGGCGGAUUUGUCAGUCAGGGGUGAAAUCCCGGGGCUCAACCUCGGAACUGCCUUUGAUACAGCAAGUCUUGAGUUCGAGAGAGGUGGGUGGAAUUCCUAGUGUAGAGGUGAAAUUCGUAGAUAUUAGGAAGAACACCGGUGGCGAAGGCGGCCCACUGGCUCGAUACUGACGCUCAGGCGCGACAGCGUGGGGAUCAAACAGG
Molecule: ribosomal RNA, 253 nt
Filed under: uncultured bacterium
Lineage: Bacteria
Description: partial 16S ribosomal RNA
Rfam family: Bacterial small subunit ribosomal RNA
Source: RNAcentral